GUCGCAUUUGUCCAGAAUGUAAACAAGUCGGGCAUUCUUCACCGUCAGGAGAAAUUUUAUGACAAGGCUUGUUUCGUGUGGCUGUUUAUUGAGUAAAACCCAGAAGAUUGCACAUUGGCCAAGCGGAGCCUCUUCUCCAAGAGGGAAAAAGAUGUGACUGUGAGGCCCUUGUGACAAGGCAGCAAUGAAAAAACAUGACAUGCUGGCCUGCAAGCCUGACCUAAGGGAAGUGAGAACAAGCUGCUGAAACAGAACGGUAAACAGAAGCUUCAAGGCAAGCCGCGUCAGCCUGGAGACAGAGGGGCGACGCUCGGCUGGGCAGCUACCAAUCAUCUGAGGUACAACCCCAACAGUGCCCAUGACACAACAUAUUUGUCAAAGCGCAUGAUGCCCCAAACCUCAAAAAAUACAAAUAAAAACGCUG
Molecule: long non-coding RNA, 424 nt
Organism: Anguilla anguilla (European eel)
Lineage: Eukaryota; Metazoa; Chordata; Actinopteri; Anguilliformes; Anguillidae
Exons: 3
Source: RefSeq, a predicted model, not a curated record